Molecule: microRNA, 24 nt
Filed under: Glycine max (soybean)
Lineage: Eukaryota; Viridiplantae; Streptophyta; Magnoliopsida; Fabales; Fabaceae
Description: gma-miR4400
Source: miRBase by way of RNAcentral
UUCGGAAAAAUUCUGGAAGACGUC